CGGGCCGUCAUAUACCGGUAGUAUGCGUGCUUUGGGAGCACGUCGACCGGGUUCGAUUCCCGGCGGCCCGA
RNAcentral lists this transfer RNA (71 nucleotides) under Patescibacteria group bacterium. Its description in RNAcentral is "tRNA-Pro". It matches the Rfam family "tRNA". From Rfam's summary of the family: Transfer RNA (tRNA) molecules are approximately 80 nucleotides in length. The record is from RNAcentral.